UGUUGGUCGGGAAAAUGAUAAUUUCUCUACGUUGAUUACAGACCCUGCAGUGGGUCUGUAAUCAACCGUUUCUGCAGCGCGGCUCUGCUUUGAACCUUGAUCCAAUGACGCAGUGCUCUGAUCCACUGCUUUGUUAGUUCUUUGCUUCGCUCCUCUUCAGAAGCGGCAACUUCGUUUCUUAACCCCUCUCAAAGCCAUUAAAAUGUGUCAAUCCAAACCUUGCCUGAGACCAAUUUGCCAUGGGAAACCCUACCCGGAGCACAAAGGCUGCAGACAACACAGCUCUCAGGUUCAUAGCGGCACACACACCUCUCCACCACGAUAAUGUGAUGUUCCCGGAGAAGAACAAUAACUGCAGUGUAUCUGUUAAUUAGGAUUUCUCAGUGUGACAUAAACCUGAUGAUGAAAUUGUUUUUUAAUUGAAAACACAAUUGAAAAAAACAAAUAUACAGGAAAUUUUGGGAGUCCAUGCUGGUGCACAGGAUGGGAGGCUUUCAGAAGAAGACACCACUCCCAUCUUAAUAUAUGCUGGUUAAGUUGUCAAUGCUGCAUUAAUGUAUUAGAUGUACACCUGCAUAUGACAGCAUGUUUAAUACAUUCAGCAUACGCAGGCUAAAUUGUCCAUGUGUGACAGGACCUUAACAUAAAUAAAUGUGGAAGUUCAGCACUGUGAAUACUUUGUAGAUACACUAUAGAUAUUUUACAAUUAGAAAUGAUUUACUUUCAGAGAUUUAUAGAUAUGUGCUUCAGUGAGUUUUCUUAUGGUUGUUUUCUUGAUUCUUUGGCGAAACUGAAGAGUCUAAAGCUGCUUUGGAUGGUUUGUCUGGAGAGAAGGAGCCAGAGACAACAAGUGCUGAACUGGUCAGAUCUCUUUUUGAAAGGACCCAGAUAUGCUGCAGCUUUUAGUGAGAAAAGAAGAAAUGCUCCCUGAACAGCAGAGUGUUGAGGACUUUAAAGAAGAAGACAACACAUUCUGCACAAGGCAGGAGGGACAGCAGCUUCACCGGUGGGAGGAGGCUGAUGUCACAAAGUUCCCUUUCUCUGUGGUCCUAUUGAAGAGUGAAAAUCAUGAAGAAAAACCACUGUUAUCUGAGGUUCUUCAAA
Molecule: long non-coding RNA, 1104 nt
Organism: Thalassophryne amazonica
Lineage: Eukaryota; Metazoa; Chordata; Actinopteri; Batrachoidiformes; Batrachoididae
Exons: 2
Source: RefSeq, a predicted model, not a curated record